AGAUUUAUUACCAUUUGCAUUUUUAAUUUAAGCAACUGAAAGGCAACUGCAUUAACGAUACAGCAGGGGUCUAAUAGGCAAAUUGGAGCUAAACUGCAAGACACCAGCCCUCCAGGACCAAGUUUAGAGACCCCUGAUCUACGAAGCAAAACCAUGGAUGUUGUAAAUGCUGUGAAAAUGAUCGUACUGGUUUGGACUUUCGCAUCUGUCUGUGAGGCCAGUGAUGAUUCAUGUACCUUCAGUUCAAGCUGUGCUGAUGUGACUGGUACUGUGCAUGAAGAACUAACUCUCACUUGCAGCAUCUCACUGAACUGCACUAAAGAAGCUGAUAAAUGCUGCAUUAUAUCGUACAUGUUUAAGGAUGAAAACACCACAGUAAUCUACAAAAAGGAGUUUCCUAACAAGACCUCUCCUAACAAGACCUGUGAACAAAAGAUCAAAGCCACAUAUGUUUACAAAUCAAGUAAAAACAUCACAGCAAAAUUUACAUUAUUUUCCCAAACAAAUUGUGAGACAAAGGAAACAGAAUUCAUCGUUAACGUAACAGAGUCUGGAGAUAAACCCACCAAUACAGAUACUGUUAAGAAAGGUGAAGCAAAGCUGACAACAUCUGAGGUCACUGUCAUUGUGUUCGCCAUAAUUGUCUUCAUCAUCAUAAUGUUAAUCAUUUAUAGGAAAUACAAUCCCACAAUCCCUUGUCGACACCAGAGAGACUAUAAAACAGCUGAUUCUGCCACAAAAGAUGAUGACAACGGUGAAUAGUCAGAAUGAGCUUCUCAGCCGCACAGCUGGACUGUGUAGCAGUUGUGUUUCACAUCCAGUGCAGGUCAUGAGCCUUUAAACAUGUUUAUAAAAGUGUGUACAGAGGAAUCAUAACUGUCUGUGUUAUUUGGUCUACUCAGUGCACUCUUAUCCUAAGCUGUAUGUUCUGUUUUAUAUUGAUUUCUGUGAAAUAACAGAAUGCUGUCGAUCUGUUUGAUCAGAUUACUGUAUACAGUAAUUAUGUUGAAUGUUCUCAAGUCCUUACACUCUCAGAAAAAAAAAGGUACAAAAUCUGUCACUGGGACGGUACCAGUGUUGGGAAGGUUACUUUGGCAAUGUAACAGGUUACAGAUUACAAGUUACCCUAUUUAAUAAGUAGUGUAACUAUUUCAGUUACUUUAUUGGAGUUACUGAUUACAUUUGAUUACUUUUUGAUAACUUUUCUAAAUCUCUAAUGAAUGUUUUUAACUGGUAAUCAUUUUCAAACAUGUAAAUCAGGCAGGGUUAACCUCACACUAGAAAUCCCUGAUCACUUGAAUUAAGAUUAUAAUAAUGUUUUGGAAAAAAAUUUAAUCUUAAAAAAUAAAGCACAUACAUAAAACCAAAUUGGUGUCUCAUAUUUUAGAGCAGUCAAUGCAAUUUGGGAAAGAAAUCAGUCAAAUCUCUGUCUGUGUGUGUGUGUGUGUCUGUGUGUGUGUGUGUGUGUGUGUGUGUGUGUGUGUGUGUGUGUGUGUGUGUGUGUGUGUGUGUGUGUGUGUGUGUGUGUGUGUGUGUGUGUGUGUGUGAUUGUGUGUGAAAAUAUUCAGAUGUAACCCCCUUUGUAAUCGUUAACAUUUUCAUAAGUAAAUGUAAUCAGUAAGAUUACAGUUACAUUUAUUUUGUAAUUAAAUUACAUAAUUCUGUUACAUGUAACUAGUAACUCCCCAACCCUGGACGAUACCUUAUCAAAAGGUACACCUUUGUACCUUAUUUACCCCUAAACAGUGCAUAUUAGUACCUUAAAGUUACAAAUGAAUACCUUAAGUGUACAUAUUAGUACUUUUUAAAAAGGAACUGCACCAGUGUCAGCUUUUGUACCGUUUCUCUGAGUGUAUAAUCAAGCUCCUAUAUUGACAGGCCUCAGGAAUUUUCUUGGUUUGUUGGGUGUUGUUGUGUUUUUUUUUUUCUUUUUUUUUUCUGUAUCUUCAAACCCUACACAUGAUGUUACUCUUUCUCUGUUGAGUUUUUUAAAAAUACAAAUUAUUAAAGACUUUUGAUGCUCUGUAAUGAUCAAUGUUUGACUGCUUUUUAUUAUCUGGUUUGAUUGUUUUGUAUACCAUAUUAUCACAUUGAAUUAAAGUGAGAUUCUAGUUCGUUUGCUGGAUCCCAUAAUUAAAA
Molecule: long non-coding RNA, 2139 nt
Organism: Cyprinus carpio carpio
Lineage: Eukaryota; Metazoa; Chordata; Actinopteri; Cypriniformes; Cyprinidae
Source: Ensembl